This 497-nucleotide ribosomal RNA is filed under the name uncultured bacterium. RNAcentral describes it as "partial 16S ribosomal RNA". It matches the Rfam family "Bacterial small subunit ribosomal RNA", at positions 28 to 507 of the family's 1533-position model. The record is from RNAcentral.
GACGAACGCUGGCGGCGUGCCUAAUACAUGCAAGUUGAGCGCUGAAGGUUGGUACUUGUACCAACUGGAUGAGCAGCGAACGGGUGAGUAACGCGUGGGGAAUCUGCCUUUGAGCGGGGGACAACAUUUGGAAACGAAUGCUAAUACCGCAUAAAAACUUUAAACACAAGUUUUAAGUUUGAAAGAUGCAAUUGCAUCACUCAAAGAUGAUCCCGCGUUGUAUUAGCUAGUUGGUGAGGUAAAAGCUCACCAAGGCGAUGAUACAUAGCCGACCUGAGAGGGUGAUCGGCCACAUUGGGACUGAGACACGGCCCAAACUCCUACGGGAGGCAGCAGUAGGGAAUCUUCGGCAAUAGACGAAAGUCUGACCGAGCAACGCCGCGUGAGUGAAGAAGGUUUUCGGAUCGUAAAACUCUGUUGGUAGAGAAGAACGUUGGUGAGAGUGGAAAGCUCAUCAAGUGACGGUAACUACCCAGAAAGGGACGGCUAACUACGUG